AUUCGUUUCGAGCAAUCGGAACUACCGAAAGGGCUGCUAAUACCCAAUAAUACUAUAGGUGCAAAAGCACUUGUGGUCAAAUGCUAGGAAUUCUGUUCCUUGUGCUUAAAGAGGGGUUAAUGUCCUAUCAGCUAGUUGGUGGGGUAAUGGCCUACCAAGGCAAAGACGGGUAGCCGGCUUGAGAGGGUGGUCGGCCACACUGGGACUGAGACACUGCCCAGACUCCUACGGGAGGCUGCAGUCGAGAAUCUUUCGCAAUGCCCGAAAGGGUGACGAAGCGACGCCGCGUGUGGGAAGAAGGCCUUCGGGUUGUAAACCACUGUCGGGAGUUAGGAAAUGCAGGUGCGUUAAUAGCGCACUUGCUUGACUAAGGCUCCAGAGGAAGCCACGGCUAACUCUGUGCCAGCAGCCGCGGUAAUACAGAGGCGGCAAGCGUUGUUCGGAAUUAUUGGGCGUAAAGAGCACGUAGGCGGCCUUGCAAGUCAGUUGUGAAAGCCUUCCGCUUAACGGAAGAACGGCAUCUGAUACUACAGGGCUUGAGUACGGGAGGGGAGAGUGGAACUUCUGGUGGAGCGGUGAAAUGCGUAGAUAUCAGAAGGAACGCCGGCGGCGAAAGCGACUCUCUGGUCCGAAACUGACGCUGAGUGUGCGAAAGCUAGGGGAGCAAACGGGAUUAGAUACCCCGGUAGUCCUAGCCGUAAACGAUGGGCACUAAGUAGAGGGGUUUU
RNAcentral lists this ribosomal RNA (728 nucleotides) under uncultured bacterium. Its description in RNAcentral is "bacterial SSU rRNA". It matches the Rfam family "Bacterial small subunit ribosomal RNA", at positions 123 to 832 of the family's 1533-position model. The record is from RNAcentral.